This 1446-nucleotide ribosomal RNA is filed under the name Weissella cibaria. Its description in RNAcentral is "bacterial SSU rRNA". It matches the Rfam family "Bacterial small subunit ribosomal RNA". Lineage: Bacteria; Bacillati; Bacillota; Bacilli; Lactobacillales; Lactobacillaceae. The record is from RNAcentral.
UUCCAGUGAACCUUGCCCUUUAAGUGGGCAAAUUAUAAUGUGUGGGUUUGGUUAUGUGUAUCCUCUUAUAUCCUGGGGGCGCCUUGGUUGGCGGUGAAAAACUUUAGAACCGAAUAAACCCCGUGGAACGUUCCACGCGGGUUUUUUAUACAUGCAUGUAAUAUUCUCCCCCAACCCGCGGUGCAUUAGUUAGUUGGUGAGGUAAUGGCUCACCAAGACGAUGAUGCAUAGCCGAGUUGAGAGAAUUAUUGGCCCCACGGCACUGUGACCCGGCCCAUACUCCUACGGGAGGAAGCAUUAGGAAUUUUCCACAAUGGCGAAAGCCUGAUGAGCAACGCCGGAGGGUGAUGAAGGUUUCGGCUCGUAAAACAGUGUGUAAGAGAAGAAUGACCUUGAGAGUAAUUGUUCAAUGUGUGACGGUAUCUUACCAGAAAGGAACGGCUAAAUACGUGCCAGCAGCCGCGGUAAUACGUAUGUUCCAAGCGUUAUCCGGAUUUAUUGAGCGUAAAGCGAGCGCAGACGGUUAUUUAAGUUUGAAGUGAAAGCCCUCAGCUCAACUGAGGAAUUGCUUUGGAAACUGGAUGACUUGAGUGCAGUAGAGGAAAGUGGAACUCCAUGUGUAGCGGUGAAAUGCGUAGAUAUAUGGAAGAACACCAGUGGCGAAGGCGGCUUUCUGGACUGUAACUGACGUUGAGGCUCGAAAGUGUGGGUAGCAAACAGGAUUAGAUACCCUGGUAGUCCACACCGUAAACGAUGAGUGCUAGGUGUUUGAGGGUUUCCGCCCUUAAGUGCCGCAGCUAACGCAUUAAGCACUCCGCCUGGGGAGUACGACCGCAAGGUUGAAACUCAAAGGAAUUGACGGGGACCCGCACAAGCGGUGGAGCAUGUGGUUUAAUUCGAAGCAACGCGAAGAACCUUACCAGGUCUUGACAUCCCUUGACAACUCCAGAGAUGGAGCGUUCCCUUCGGGGACAAGGUGACAGGUGGUGCAUGGUUGUCGUCAGCUCGUGUCGUGAGAUGUUGGGUUAAGUCCCGCAACGAGCGCAACCCUUAUUACUAGUUGCCAGCAUUCAGUUGGGCACUCUAGUGAGACUGCCGGUGACAAACCGGAGGAAGGUGGGGAUGACGUCAAAUCAUCAUGCCCCUUAUGACCUGGGCUACACACGUGCUACAAUGGCGUAUACAACGAGUUGCCAACCCGCGAGGGUGAGCUAAUCUCUUAAAGUACGUCUCAGUUCGGAUUGUAGGCUGCAACUCGCCUACAUGAAGUCGGAAUCGCUAGUAAUCGCGGAUCAGCACGCCGCGGUGAAUACGUUCCCGGGUCUUGUACACACCGCCCGUCACACCAUGAGAGUUUGUAACACCCAAAGCCGGUGGGGUAACCUUCGGGAGCCAGCCGUCUAAGGUGGGACAGAUGAUUAGGGUGAAGUCGUAACAAGAGCAUGC